GAUGAACGCUGGCGGCGUGCCUAAUACAUGCAAGUCGAGCGAACAGACGAGGAGCUUGCUCCUCUGACGUUAGCGGCGGACGUGUGAGUAACACGUGGAUAACCUACCUAUAAGACUGGUAUAACUUCGGGAAACCGGCGCUAAUACCGGAUAAUAUAUUGAACCGUAUGGUUCAAUAGUGAAAGACGGUUUUGCUGUCACUUAUAGAUGGAUCCGAGCUGCAUUAGCUAGUUGUUAAGUUAACGGCUUACCAAGGCGACGAUGCGUAGCCGACCGGAGAGGGUGAUCGGCCGCACGGGAACUUAGACAGGGUCCAGACUACUAAGGGAGGCAGCAGUAGGGAAUCUGCCGCAAUGGGCGAAAGCCUGGCGGAACAGCGCCGCGUGAGUGACGAAGGUGUUGGGAUCGUAAAACUCUGUUAUGAGGGAAGAACAAAUGUGUAAGUAACUAUGCACGUCUUGACGGUACCUAAUCAGAAAGCCACGGCUAACUACGUG
Molecule: ribosomal RNA, 497 nt
Filed under: uncultured bacterium
Lineage: Bacteria
Description: partial 16S ribosomal RNA
Rfam family: Bacterial small subunit ribosomal RNA
Source: RNAcentral